Molecule: ribosomal RNA, 292 nt
Filed under: uncultured bacterium
Lineage: Bacteria
Description: partial 16S ribosomal RNA
Rfam family: Bacterial small subunit ribosomal RNA
Source: RNAcentral
GUGCCAGCAGCCGCGGUAAUACAGAGGUCCCAAGCGUUGUUCGGAUUCACUGGGCGUAAAGGGUGCGUAGGUGGUGAGGUAAGUCGGAUGUGAAAUCUCCGGGCUCAACCCGGAAAUGGCAUUGGAAACUACCUUGCUAGAGGAUUUGAGGGGGGAUUGGAAUACUUGGUGUAGCAGUGAAAUGCGUAGAUAUCAAGUGGAACACCAGUGGCGAAGGCGAAUCCCUGGAAAAUACCUGACACUGAGGCACGAAAGCUAGGGGAGCAAACAGGAUUAGAUACCCUUGUAGUCC